AACUAACGCUGGCGGCGCGUCUUAAACAUGCAAGUCGAACGGUAGUCCUUGAGCUUGCUUAGGGAUGAGAGUGGCGAACGGGUGAGUAACACGUGGAUAAUCUGCCUCCGGGUUGGGAUAACUGUCCGAAGGAUAGCUAAUACCGAAUGAGAUGGCGGUUACAUAAGUAGCAGCCAUUAAAGGUGGGGACCGCAAGGCCUACUGCCUGGAGAUGAGUCCGCGGCUGAUUAGCUAGUUGGUGGGGUAACGGCCUACCAAGGCGACGAUCAGUAGCCGGCCUGAGAGGGUGAACGGCCACAUUGGGACUGAGAUACGGCCCAGACUCCUACGGGAGGCAGCAGUUAAGAAUCUUGCACAAUGGGCGCAAGCCUGAUGCAGCGACGCCGCGUGAAUGAUGAAGG
Molecule: ribosomal RNA, 401 nt
Filed under: uncultured bacterium
Lineage: Bacteria
Description: bacterial SSU rRNA
Rfam family: Bacterial small subunit ribosomal RNA
Source: RNAcentral